GUGAAUCAUCGAAUCUUUGAACGCACAUUGCGCCCCUUGGUAUUCCAUGGGGCAUGCCUGUUCGAGCGUCAUUUGUACCUUCAAGCUCUGCUUGGUGUUGGGUGUUUGUCCCCGUUUUUGUGCGGACUCGCCUGGAAUUCAUUGGCAGCCGGCAGUCUGGUGUUGGAGCGCAGCACAAUUUGCGCUUUCCCCCACGACAAUCGGCGUCCAGUAAGCCUACAUUUCAACGCUUGACCUCGGAUCAGGUAGGGAUACCCGCUGAACUUAAGCAUAUCAAUAAGCGGAGGA
RNAcentral lists this unclassified non-coding RNA (288 nucleotides) under Synfenestella sp. RNAcentral describes it as "partial contains 5.8S ribosomal RNA, internal transcribed spacer 2, and large subunit ribosomal RNA". The stretch from base 1 to 71 matches the Rfam family "5.8S ribosomal RNA", at positions 84 to 154 of the family's 154-position model. Lineage: Eukaryota; Fungi; Ascomycota; Dothideomycetes; Pleosporales; Cucurbitariaceae. The record is from RNAcentral.